Molecule: small RNA, 27 nt
Filed under: Bombyx mori (domestic silkworm)
Lineage: Eukaryota; Metazoa; Arthropoda; Insecta; Lepidoptera; Bombycidae
Description: ovarian small RNA-19896
Source: RNAcentral
UAAUUCCAUGAUGAGGCAUGAAAUAAC